Molecule: ribosomal RNA, 391 nt
Filed under: uncultured bacterium
Lineage: Bacteria
Description: bacterial SSU rRNA
Rfam family: Bacterial small subunit ribosomal RNA
Source: RNAcentral
GACGAACGCUGGCGGCGUGCUUAACACAUGCAAGUCGAACGGUGACCCAGGGCUUGCCCUGGUGAUCAGUGGCGAACGGGUGAGUAACACGUGGGCAACCUGCCCCUGACUUCGGGAUAACUCCUCGAAAGAGGAGCUAAUACCGGAUACGACCACUUCGGACAUCCGAUGGUGGUGGAAAGUUUUUCGGUCAGGGAUGGGCCCGCGGCCUAUCAGCUAGUUGGUGGGGUAAUGGCCUACCAAGGCGACGACGGGUAGCCGGCCUGAGAGGGCGACCGGCCACACUGGGACUGAGGACACGGCCCAGACUCCUACGGGAGGCAGCAGUGGGGAAUAUGCGCAAUGGGCGAAAGCCUGACGCAGCGACGCCGCGUGAGGGAUGAAGGCUCGG